CCUACGGGCGGCAGCAGUGAGGAAUAUUGGUCAAUGGACGGAAGUCUGAACCAGCCACGCCGCGUGCAGGAAGACGGCUCUAUGAUUUGUAAACUGCUUUUGUACAAGGGUAAAUCUGAAUACGUGUAUUCAGCUGAAAGUACUGUACGAAUAAGGAUCGGCUAAAUCUGUGCCAGCAGCCGCGGUAAUACGGAGGAUCCAAGCGUUACUCGGAUUUAGUGGGUUUAAAGGGUGCGUAGGCGGAUUGAUAAGUUAGAGGUGAAAUGUCAGAGGUUAACUCGGGAACUGCCUGUGAUACUGUUGAUCUAGAGAAUAGGUGCGGUAGGCGGAAUGUAUGGUGUAGCGGUGAAAUGCUUAGAGAUCAAACAGAACACCGAUUGCGAAGGCAGCUUACCAGUAUAUAUCUGACGUUGAGGCACGAAAGCGUGGGGAGCAAACAGGAUUAGAUACCCCUGUAGUC
This 460-nucleotide ribosomal RNA is filed under the name uncultured bacterium. RNAcentral describes it as "partial 16S ribosomal RNA". It matches the Rfam family "Bacterial small subunit ribosomal RNA", at positions 338 to 795 of the family's 1533-position model. The record is from RNAcentral.